Molecule: long non-coding RNA, 266 nt
Organism: Asterias rubens (European starfish)
Lineage: Eukaryota; Metazoa; Echinodermata; Asteroidea; Forcipulatida; Asteriidae
Exons: 3
Source: RefSeq, a predicted model, not a curated record
UGGCGAUUUUGCAGUUCAAGCAGAAGUGAUCUCGACGAGCCUAUAUCAGAGAGUGUGAGAUAGCAACUUCACCACACAUGGAUGUCACACUGGCCUCACCAUUCUAAUUGUCUUGUUGGAUCUGAGACAUCACCAAGUGUUACCUGAGCUUUCAUCCAGAUGAAAGUCGUACUGUGUAAAUGUCACCAAAGACCCUCCUAAUGUGACAUCAAUCUUCAACAUGAAUCUUAGCAGUGAGCUUUUGGGGUAGAGGUGAUGGAUCAGCA